GAUGAACGCUAGCGGGAGGCUUAAUACAUGCAAGUCGAGCGGUAACUACCUUCGGGUAGCUAGAGCGGCGCACGGGCGAGUAACGCGUACGCAAUCUGCCUUUCAGUGGGGAAUAGCCCUGGGAAACUGGGAUUAAUGCCCCAUAACAUUUGUUGGUCGCAUGGCCAGUAAAUUAAAGCUCCGGUGCUGGAAGAUGAGCGUGCGUCUGAUUAGCUAGUUGGUAGGGUAACGGCCUACCAAGGCGAUGACCAGUAGGGGGCGUGAGAGCGUGACCCCCCACACGGGUACUGAGACACGGACCCGACUCCUACGGGAGGCAGCAGUAAGGAAUAUUGGGCAAUGGAGGCAACUCUGACCCAGCCAUCCCGCGUGAAGGAAUAAGGCCCUAUGGUUGUAAACUCUUUAUCUGGAAGAAAUCUGGACAUUCAUGUGCAGUUGACGGUACCAGAGGAAUAAGCACCGGCUAACUCCGUGCCAGCAGCCGCGGUAAU
This 491-nucleotide ribosomal RNA is filed under the name uncultured Haliscomenobacter sp. RNAcentral describes it as "bacterial SSU rRNA". It matches the Rfam family "Bacterial small subunit ribosomal RNA", at positions 28 to 524 of the family's 1533-position model. Lineage: Bacteria; Pseudomonadati; Bacteroidota; Saprospiria; Saprospirales; Haliscomenobacteraceae. The record is from RNAcentral.